RNAcentral lists this long non-coding RNA (447 nucleotides) under Bos taurus (domestic cattle). RNAcentral describes it as "long non-coding RNA NONBTAT013789". The record is from RNAcentral. Lineage: Eukaryota; Metazoa; Chordata; Mammalia; Artiodactyla; Bovidae.
UUAUAGGAGUUAAAUUUGACAUUUUGCAGUUUUCUGCAGUUUAUCAUUUAAUUUUUUUCUUGGACCUUUAAAAUAAAAAACUAAUAGCUGAAAAAAUAGCUAUUCCUUCUCAGCUGUGUUUUAGACUUGUGAAAUAUUUUGAUAGAUUUUAUUACUUAAAGUCAUUUAGAUGCCUUUACUUGAAAAUAAGAACUCUGACUUAGUUUUUAGUUACAUUUUAAACACUAGAACUUUAGAGUAUAGCUAGAAGUAAGCCAUGCUGAAGAUUGUGGAAUGCUUUUCAGGGCAAUUCAAGUGACCUCAUUUUUGUUCUUUUUGGAUUCAAGACAGUAUUUCUGUCAUUGGAUCUCUGAUUUGUAGCAUUAAUAAAUAUUCUGUCAGUGUGAGCCAAAUUCAUGACAUUAAUUUUCUAUAUUUUAGCAGUAAAAAGCAGUAAAAUAGCUUUUC